This 484-nucleotide ribosomal RNA is filed under the name uncultured bacterium. RNAcentral's name for it is "partial 16S ribosomal RNA". It matches the Rfam family "Bacterial small subunit ribosomal RNA", at positions 28 to 523 of the family's 1533-position model. The record is from RNAcentral.
AAUGAACGUUGGCGGCGUGGAUUAGGCAUGCAAGUCGUGCGGAAAGGCCCCGCAAGGGGUGCUCGAGCGGCGUAAGGGAGAGUAAUGUGUGGAUACCUACCCUGGGGUUGGGGAUAGCUGCGGGAAACUGCAAUUAAUACCCGAUGAUGUCUCCGGACCAAAGGUGUGAUUCCGCCCUUGGAGGGGUCCACAUCCUAUCAGCUUGGUGGGGAGGUAAUGGCGCACCAAGGCUAUGACGGGUACGGGGUGUGAGAGCAUGUUCCCGCUCACUGGGACUGAGACACUGCCCAGACACCUACGGGUGGCUGCAGUCGAGAAUCUUCGGCAAUGGGCGCAAGCCUGACCGAGCGACGCCGCGUGCGGGAUGGAGGCCUUCGGGUUGUAAACCGCUGUCAGUGGGGAGGAAAGUUUUGAGGGUAAUCUCUCAGGAUUGACCUAUCCGCAGAGGAAGGGUGGGCUAAGCUCGUGCCAGCAGCCGCAGUAA